AGAAUCAACGCUGGCGGCGUGCCUAACACAUGCAAGUCGAACGAGAAAGUGGAGCAAUCCAUUAGUAAAGUGGCGCACGGGUGAGUAACACGUGACUAACCUACCCUUGAGUGGGGGAUAACCUAGGGAAACCUGGGCUAAUACCGCAUAAUACCUUCGGGUCAAAGGAGCAAUUCGCUUUAGGAGGGGGUCGCGGCCGAUUAGUUAGUUGGCGGGGUAAUGGCCCACCAAGACUGUGAUCGGUAUCC
This 248-nucleotide ribosomal RNA is filed under the name uncultured bacterium. Its description in RNAcentral is "partial small subunit ribosomal RNA". It matches the Rfam family "Bacterial small subunit ribosomal RNA", at positions 26 to 288 of the family's 1533-position model. The record is from RNAcentral.